UGGGGAAUAUUGGACAAUGGGCGCAAGCCUGAUUCAGCCAUGCCGCGUGAGUGAUGAAGGCCUUAGGGUUGUAAAGCUCUUUUAGCGGGGAAGAUAAUGACGGUACCCGCAGAAAAAGCCCCGGCUAACUUCGUGCCAGCAGCCGCGGUAAUACGAAGGGGGCUAGCGUUGCUCGGAAUUACUGGGCGUAAAGCGCACGUAGGCGGACUCUUAAGUCGGUGGUGAAAUCCUGGAGCUCAACUCCAGAACUGCCUUCGAUACUGGGAGUCUUGAGUUCGGGAGAGGUGAGUGGAACUGCUAGUGUAGAGGUGAAAUUCGUAGAUAUUCGCAAGAACACCAGUGGCGAAGGCGGCUCACUGGCCCGAUACUGACGCUGAGGUGCGAAAGCGUGGGGAGCAAACA
Molecule: ribosomal RNA, 402 nt
Filed under: uncultured bacterium
Lineage: Bacteria
Description: bacterial SSU rRNA
Rfam family: Bacterial small subunit ribosomal RNA
Source: RNAcentral